Molecule: transfer RNA, 84 nt
Filed under: Lentilactobacillus curieae
Lineage: Bacteria; Bacillati; Bacillota; Bacilli; Lactobacillales; Lactobacillaceae
Description: Lactobacillus curieae tRNA
Rfam family: tRNA
About the family: Transfer RNA (tRNA) molecules are approximately 80 nucleotides in length. Their secondary structure includes four short double-helical elements and three loops (D, anti-codon, and T loops). Further hydrogen bonds mediate the characteristic L-shaped molecular structure. tRNAs have two regions of fundamental functional importance: the anti-codon, which is responsible for specific mRNA codon recognition, and the 3' end, to which the tRNAs corresponding amino acid is attached (by aminoacyl-tRNA synthetases). tRNAs cope with the degeneracy of the genetic code in two manners: having more than one tRNA (with a specific anti-codon) for a particular amino acid; and 'wobble' base-pairing, i.e. permitting non-standard base-pairing at the 3rd anti-codon position.
Source: Rfam by way of RNAcentral
GCCGGAGUGGCGGAACUGGCAGACGCGCUAGACUCAAAAUCUAGUGUCCGCAAGGACGUGUGGGUUCGAACCCCACCUCCGGUA